CCUACGGGAGGCAGCAGUGAGGAAUAUUGGUCAAUGGUCGGGAGACUGAACCAGCCAAGCCGCGUGAGGGAUGAAGGUACAGAGUAUCGUAAACCUCUUUUGUCAGGGAACAAAGGCGGGGACGUGUCCCCGGAUGAGUGUACCUGAAGAAAAAGCAUCGGCUAACUCCGUGCCAGCAGCCGCGGUAAUACGGAGGAUGCGAGCGUUAUCCGGAUUUAUUGGGUUUAAAGGGGGCGUAGACGGUGCGUCAAGUCUGAAGGGAAAGCCCGGGGCUUAACCCCGGGACUGCUUUGGAAACUGGCGCG
Molecule: ribosomal RNA, 305 nt
Filed under: uncultured bacterium
Lineage: Bacteria
Description: bacterial SSU rRNA
Rfam family: Bacterial small subunit ribosomal RNA
Source: RNAcentral